ACGGCGAGUGAAGCGGCAAAAGCUCAAAUUUGAAAUCGGCCCCCAGGUCGAGUUGUAAUUUGUAGAUUGUAUCUUGAGAGCGGAUUAAAGUCUGUUGGAACACAGCGCCUUAGAGGGUGACAGCCCCGUAAAAUCUAUUCUCAUUGUAAGAUACUUUCGAAGAGUCGAGUUGUUUGGGAAUGCAGCUCUAAGUGGGAGGUAAAUUCCUUCUAAAGCUAAAUAUUGACGAGAGACCGAUAGCGAACAAGUACUGUGA
RNAcentral lists this ribosomal RNA (256 nucleotides) under Geotrichum candidum. RNAcentral's name for it is "partial large subunit ribosomal RNA". It matches the Rfam family "Eukaryotic large subunit ribosomal RNA", at positions 86 to 356 of the family's 3401-position model. Lineage: Eukaryota; Fungi; Ascomycota; Dipodascomycetes; Dipodascales; Dipodascaceae. The record is from RNAcentral.